ACUCCUACGGGAGGCAGCAGUGAGGAAUAUUGCGCAAUGGGCGAAAGCCUGACGCAGCGACGCCGCGUGGAGGAUGAAGGUCUUCGGAUUGUAAACUUCUGUUAAGUGGGAAGAAAGAGCUGUUUUUAAUAGAAGCAGUUAAUGACGGUACCAUUAAAGAGAGCACCGGCUAAACUCGUGCCAGCAGCCGCGGUAAUACGAGUGGUGCAAGCGUUAUUCGGAAUAAUUGGGCGUACAGGGUGUGUAGGCGGUAUGUUAAGUCUGUUGUUAAAGACUCCGGCCUAACCGGAGAUGGGCGGCGGAAACUGGCGUACUAGAGGGUGGAAGAGAGAAGUGGAAUUCUCGGUGUAGCGGUAAAAUGCGUAGAUAUCGAGAGGAACACCGAUGGCGAAGGCAGCUUCUUGGUCCAUACCUGACGCUGAAACACGAAAGCGUGGGGAGCAAACAGGAUUAGAUACCCUGGUAGUC
RNAcentral lists this ribosomal RNA (468 nucleotides) under uncultured bacterium. RNAcentral's name for it is "bacterial SSU rRNA". It matches the Rfam family "Bacterial small subunit ribosomal RNA", at positions 335 to 795 of the family's 1533-position model. The record is from RNAcentral.